Long non-coding RNA from Monodelphis domestica (gray short-tailed opossum), 2393 nucleotides. RefSeq lists it as uncharacterized. NCBI's taxonomy places the organism in Eukaryota, Metazoa, Chordata, Mammalia, Didelphimorphia, Didelphidae. The record is from RefSeq and is a predicted model, not a curated record.
ACCCCCAAUCACCCCCUCCGCCACCGCUCCUUUCUACGCUCUAGCCUUCUCUCCCCGCCCCUCGCCUAAGGAAGGCUCCACGUGGAAACUUUCCCCAACCGCCCCGACCCUCUCCAGGCCACUCCAGCCCGGACUCCACGCAGAGCCCCAACCCCCUCACCUUCCCCAAAGGCCCGGAGGGGAGGGGAGAGGAAGGCGGAAGGGGGUGGUCAGUUCUCCCGUCCCGGGGGAGGGGGAGAAAGCCACCCCUCCUUAGGCUUCUAAACUGACUCAAACCUAACCACACCCCCUCCUCCCCAGGGGAGCCGGUGGAGGGGGCCGGUCAGCCUGAGAUCGAGCAACAGACACCCAUGUUCGCACAUAUAUCUGUACACCUACGUUUACCCUAACCAGACCCGGGGCUCUUACUGGGAAGGGAGGAUUUGGGGCGCUUACUUUAGCCACAGGACCAGCAGAGCAGUGCCUAAGACUGGUCGGCAUACAGGCUUGUCUAGAAAGCAGCAAUCAAGAAGGAGCUCCUGGCACCCAGAGGCAGGCUGCAUGAAGAAAGCCUCUGCUCUCUCUGCAAGAUCCACUUUCCAAAUUCUCAGACCUUGGAUUCUCUAUAAGAAUCUAGAUUGAUGUGCUGAAUUCUUGACUGUUUUGUGAAGGCCACAAAAGGAAACCAAAGAAAUCUCUGUUUGGUUUUGGAGACCAUGGACCGGGGACAGUUUUCCAACAAGAAUUUGUUCUUCUGAGUCCCAAGCAGCUCACUGUCAAGAGUUCUCUGCGUUGCUAAAGGAGAGCACCAAGAACAUGGUGAUGCUUGAACUCCCAAACUGAGUAAGGAUUGCCUUGACCAACUUCCCCUGCUCCUGUCAUAUGUAUUGGCUAAGAAAAAAAAAAAACAAAAUCUUUGCUCUUCUAUCAAUUAUUCCAAUCCAUUUUUAAUCAUUUCUACAGCUUAAGUUAUUAAAGAGCCCAAAGUAAAACCCCCAAAGUUUAAAAAUUCUAGGGAAAUAUGUGCUACAUGAUAAUAUAUGUACAACUCAUGUCUUAUUACCUGCUUUCUGGGAGAGGGCGGGGGAAAAGGAUUGGGGGAAAUUACUAAUGUGAAGAUUUGUUUCUCUUGGAUAAGCAUAUUUAUUAUAACAGUAUACAUUCAAAACAACUCAUCUGUAUUAUAUUAUUGUUAAGUUACAUGCUAUGUUAUGUGAAACAUAUUUUUAAUGGUAACCAAAACAAUUAUAUGAUGCUGUUAGAUUUAAAAUGGUUGAAGGCCUUAAACUGUAACAGUUAAAAGAGUGAUGUUGUAAACUGUAGUGAGUUAAAAUGGUGGAAAAUAUAAAUUGUGAUAGAUAUAAGAGAGGGUGAGUAAAUUUGACUGCAGAAAAUAUGUUUCACUACAGUGUCUUGGUUUUUAAAUCAAAUAUAAGGUGGUCGCCAGGGAAAUAUUCCCAAUUAUUCAAAUACCCAAGUCAACUGGGUUUUAUAGAGAUUUUAAUUAAUACAAAUGUGGAAUUAAAGAAAAGAGAGAAAGAGAGAAAAAGGAAAUAAGUAUGAAGGGCCUUAAGCCAACAUGGCCUAGACCUGAGUCUUAAGAGAGAGAGAUCAGUCAGUCAGACUUUUAAUACUCACCACAAGGUAUGUCUAAGCAAGGAUUCUAGUGACACCAGGCCAGCUCCAUCUCAGCUGAUUUCACCAGAGAGAGUUCCAGCCAGAGUCCUCCUUAAAGAGCCUUCCUGCCAGAGACUGUUCCAAAGGGCCUCUCUCCAGAGCCUCCAGAGGGACAGAGUCCCCUCAGAGGAGCUCCAGCAAGACCUCCUUAGAGAUUGUCCUCCAAGAGCUUCCCUUCUCCAGAGCCUCUCUCAAGAGAUUCUUCCCAAGCGAUCCUCAUCCAAGAUCCUCCAAAAGGAUUUUUUUCUCAAGAGAUUCUGCUUUUUCUUAUAUAGGGGUUUUUCUCCUAUGUCACCUCCCCUAAGUCCUUACAUCUACCAAUCACUGUAGAUGGUUUCCAAAGGACUGCCCAUCUGAAUUCCUGCUAAGUCGACUAAUCUCCUCAGUAAGUCUGAACCAGUGAAAACACAGCUGAGUCAACUAAUCUCAUUAAGAGAAAACUUGCCUGACCCUUUUAGGUACCUAGCAUCUCAUUGUAUCAAUUCUAAAAAACAGGCAUGGCUCAAAGAACUCCUUGCCUUAUUAUAAGCAUGGGUCCAAGUACUUUCAUUGCUUAGCAAGGAGUUUUCUCCCCUAAAGCAGUCUUAAGUACGGGUGGAGUAGAGGUCCUCCCAUUUCUGAUCCUGGCGAGUUCUCACAUCAAAAUGGGGAAUGUUUCCCAGUAGGGAAUUUGUUCCAAUGGAGGAUUCCUCAAUGUGGAAAUUUUUAACAUUCACAAGUCUGAGAAAUUUCAAGAU